GGUUCCAUGGUGUAGUGGUUAGCACAUCUGCCUUACACGCAGAAGCUCCUGGGUUCGAGUCCCAGUGGAACCA
RNAcentral lists this transfer RNA (73 nucleotides) under Ailuropoda melanoleuca (giant panda). Its description in RNAcentral is "tRNA-Val (TAC) (tRNA-Val-TAC-5-1)". It matches the Rfam family "tRNA". Rfam says of the family: Transfer RNA (tRNA) molecules are approximately 80 nucleotides in length. Their secondary structure includes four short double-helical elements and three loops (D, anti-codon, and T loops). The record is from Rfam by way of RNAcentral. Lineage: Eukaryota; Metazoa; Chordata; Mammalia; Carnivora; Ursidae.